AGCAUUCCCUAUCCGUGCUGAGAUUUCGUCACACAUUAGAACACAAGGGAUGAUGGAACUUCUAAGCUAAGUGAAGCG
This 78-nucleotide microRNA precursor is filed under the name Schistosoma margrebowiei. Its description in RNAcentral is "mir-3492 microRNA precursor family". It matches the Rfam family "mir-3492 microRNA precursor family". Lineage: Eukaryota; Metazoa; Platyhelminthes; Trematoda; Strigeidida; Schistosomatidae. The record is from Rfam by way of RNAcentral.